Molecule: transfer RNA, 77 nt
Filed under: Vibrio parahaemolyticus
Lineage: Bacteria; Pseudomonadati; Pseudomonadota; Gammaproteobacteria; Vibrionales; Vibrionaceae
Description: tRNA-Val
Rfam family: tRNA
About the family: Transfer RNA (tRNA) molecules are approximately 80 nucleotides in length.
Source: RNAcentral
GGGUCCGUAGCUCAGUUGGUUAGAGUACUACCUUGACAUGGUAGGGGUCGCGAUUCGAGUUCGCCCCGGACCCACCA